Molecule: long non-coding RNA, 826 nt
Filed under: Homo sapiens (human)
Lineage: Eukaryota; Metazoa; Chordata; Mammalia; Primates; Hominidae
Description: non-protein coding lnc-ADAMTS16-4:1
Source: RNAcentral
CUGAUUUUUUCCCUCUUCUUUUAAUUUUGUAAUGAGAGUCACUAUAUUUCUUAGCUCCAUUCCAAAAUAUUAACUGGGGAGCUGCUCAUUUAUAAUAGUGCCAAACUUCUGACAGACAGAAAUUAUAAAAGAGGCCCCAGAAAAGCAUCAGAAAAAAAGGGAAACUUUUAAACAGAAAUGGUAAUUUGAAAUACUGACCCUAGGUUUAAAAUUUAGAAAAGGCCUGUUUUCUGGAGCAGUCAUCUGGAUGGUCCAACAGCUCCCUCUACUCCUCCAAGAGGGAAACAUGAAACACAGCAGGGCUGUGUGGAAGUGUGAGCAGCCCAGGCUUGGGGAAAGCCACAUGUUUCCUUGUUCCAGCCAGGAGCUCCAAAAUGGCCUCCUCAUGCUGUUAAGAAACGUAAUCGUGGCGGCGCUGGGACUGAGGACAGAAGCAACUGCGUCAUGUGCAGUCCCGCACAGCAGAGGCGUUCCCCGCACCAGCAUCCUGCACAAGAGCCAGCAAAGAGAGGCGCGCGUGGAAUUAAAAUCCGGGGUAGCCCCCGGCUUCUCACUGAGCACCCACCACCAACAAUGCUCAGCAGUGGAACGUGGACCAACUAAGAGGCAACCCUUCCUGCUGCCGCUUCCGCAGUCAGAAGGUGAAGACAGAGAGCAAACCUCCAGGAGAGGGCUCUGCUCCACUUUCUCCGGGACAUGGACGGGGCAGGUGACUGUUUCACGCUGUCAUGGGACACAUCAACUUCCAUCCCUGCUUUACCAUAUUAAAUGCUCUACAGUGGAGCUUACUUGAAGAAACUGAAAAUUUGAGCAGGUGGGCUCUUUG